AUUGAACGCUGGCGGCAGGCCUAACACAUGCAAGUCGAACGGUAACAGGAAGCAGCUUGCUGCUUCGCUGACGAGUGGCGGACGGGUGAGUAAUGUCUGGGAAACUGCCUGAUGGAGGGGGAUAACUACUGGAAACGGGAGCUGAUACCGCAUAACGUCGCAAGACCAAAGAGGGGGACCUUAGGGCCUCUUGCCAUCGGAUGUGCCCAGAUGGGAUUUGCUAGUAGGUGGGGUAACGGCUCACCUAGGCGACGAUCCCUAGCUGGUCUGAGAGGAUGACCCGCCACACUGGAACUGAGACACGGUCCAGACUCCUACGGGAGGCAGCAGUGGGGAAUAUUGCACAAUGGGCGGAAGCCUGAUGCAGCCAUGCCGCGUGUAUGAAGAAGGCCUUCGGGUUGUAAAGUACUUUCAGCGGGGAGGAAGGGAGUAAAGUUAAUACCUUUGCUCAUUGACGUUACCCGCAGAAGAAGCACCGGCUAACUCCGUG
RNAcentral lists this ribosomal RNA (490 nucleotides) under uncultured bacterium. Its description in RNAcentral is "partial 16S ribosomal RNA". It matches the Rfam family "Bacterial small subunit ribosomal RNA", at positions 30 to 507 of the family's 1533-position model. The record is from RNAcentral.